CGAGUUAACGUUGGCGGCGUGCCUAACACAUGCAAGUCGAACGCGUCCUAAGGGCAACUUUAGGAUGAGUGGCGAACGGGUGAGUAUCACGUGGGUAAUCUUCCUUUAAGUGGGGAAUAAGCUCUCGAAAGGGAGUCUAAUACCGCAUGACAUUCCGGGACACAAGUCCCGUAAUCAAAGCCGCAAGGCGCUUGAAGAUGAGCCUGCGUCCUAUUAGCUAGUUGGUGGGGUAACGGCCUACCAAGGCUCAGAUGGGUAGCCGGCCUGAGAGGGUGAACGGCCACACUGGGACUGAGACACGGCCCAGACUCCUACGGGAGGCAGCAGUGAGGAAUUUUGCGCAAUGGGGGAAACCCUGACGCAGCGACGCCGCGUGGAGGAUGAAGGCCUUCGGGUCGUAAACUCCUGUCAGAGGUGAAGAAUGCCCGCAAGGGUUUGACGGUAACCUCAGAGGAAGCCCCGGCUAACUACGUG
This 474-nucleotide ribosomal RNA is filed under the name uncultured bacterium. Its description in RNAcentral is "bacterial SSU rRNA". It matches the Rfam family "Bacterial small subunit ribosomal RNA", at positions 27 to 507 of the family's 1533-position model. The record is from RNAcentral.